GACGAACGCUGGCGGCGUGCUUAACACAUGCCAGUCGAACGGAAAGGCCCUGCUUUUGUGGGGUGCUCGAGUGGCGAACGGGUGAGUAACACGUGAGUAACCUGCCCUUGACUUUGGGAUAACUUCAGGAAACUGGGGCUAAUACCGGAUAGGAGCUCCUGCUGCAUGGUGGGGGUUGGAAAGUUUCGGCGGUUGGGGAUGGACUCGCGGCUUAUCAGCUUGUUGGUGGGGUAGUGGCUUACCAAGGCUUUGACGGAUAGCCGGCCUGAGAGGGUGACCGGCCACAUUGGGACUGAGAUACGGCCCAGACUCCUACGGGAGGCAGCAGUGGGGAAUAUUGCACAAUGGGCGGAAGCCUGAUGCAGCAACGCCGCGUGCGGGAUGACGGCCUUCGGGUUGUAAACCGCUUUCGCCUGUGACGAAGCGUGAGUGACGGUAAUGGGUAAAGAAGCACCGGCUAACUACGUG
This 468-nucleotide ribosomal RNA is filed under the name uncultured bacterium. Its description in RNAcentral is "partial 16S ribosomal RNA". It matches the Rfam family "Bacterial small subunit ribosomal RNA", at positions 28 to 507 of the family's 1533-position model. The record is from RNAcentral.